GACGGAGGGUGCAAGCGUUGUUCGGAAUUACUGGGCGUAAAGGGCGCGUAGGCGGUCUGUUAAGUUCGGUGUGAAAGCCCCCGGCUCACCUGGAACUGCGCCGGAAACCGACAGACUCGAGUACCGGAGAGGAGGGUGGAAUUCCUGGUGUAGCGGUGAAAUGCGUAGAUAUCAGGAGGAACACCGGUGGCGAAGGCGGCCCUCUGGACGGAUACUGACGCUGAGGCGCGAAAGCGUGGGGAUCAAACAGG
Molecule: ribosomal RNA, 251 nt
Filed under: uncultured bacterium
Lineage: Bacteria
Description: partial 16S ribosomal RNA
Rfam family: Bacterial small subunit ribosomal RNA
Source: RNAcentral